Molecule: long non-coding RNA, 715 nt
Filed under: Hordeum vulgare
Lineage: Eukaryota; Viridiplantae; Streptophyta; Magnoliopsida; Poales; Poaceae
Description: long non-coding RNA (HVUL_LNC020805)
Source: RNAcentral
GUUUGAACGGGAUUCCUUCAGCUUCACUUCCAUUAAUUUGACUCAUAUAAGAUUUUACCAUAAGAUUUUGGAGGAAACGAAAAUUCAAGGCCAUGUUCCACUGGAAAUAUUUUUUAGUGUUCCCAUGUUGUAUAACAGCACACCCAUGAGAGAUUUUAUUGAAGUCAAACACCCUAUCAAACCCAUUCGUGGAUUAUCUGGCCAUUUUCUUCCACUAAACGUCACCUGGACCAUGUCUACUUAAAUUAGGAGUCUUUCUACGCGAAGUAAGCUGCUAAGGCAGCGAGACGAAUCAGAACAUAAUCUUGAAGGAUGACAAACGGUGGAAAGCGACGUUUUUCGCUUAACCACCAAAAGGACCGGCAUAGUUCACCUACAGCAAUGCUAGUAACACCAACCGAGCCAGCAAAUAGCAUCAUUCUGUCUGGCUCCCAAAUCGGCCGAUUACUUAUUCAUGAGGUCAUGUAAUAGUUGUCAGUGGUGGGGAUUAACCAUGAAGUCCGUUGUUGGAUGCCUGAUGCAAGCUAUGGCCUUCCGGUUUUCUUUUCUCUUUUUAAAGAUAUAUUAUGUAUAUGUGCACACUCAAGGAAUCAACAUGCAUGUCUUUGACGUCGUGUUGUUUUACAAGCCAGGAGCAUUUUGUAUCAACAUGACUUCUUUCAUUUUUAAGGCAAUGCUUUCUACAUUGAUGACUAACUCUAGCUACGAGCUUUGC